CACGGAAGCUUGAAAAUACCCAUUAAUUGGGUUUCAUGUACUCAUUAUUCGUCUCAGUACUGAAAUGUCAAACAAUGGGUAUUUUUUUAAAUACAAAUAAUGGAAUGAAAUCUUAACGCCAUUUUUGCUCCGCUUCGACGCGUUGGAUAUUUUUUCGUGAAAAAAUAAUGGAUUUCCCUUUUAUUCUAAGAAAAACAAAGAAGAAACCAGUACGCGGCUGGGGGAUUUCGGAUGAUGUUGAUCUUAUUCAGAGCAACUUCUGUGCCGCUCCAAUCAUUAAGAUCUAUGGCUGGCUGCAGGAUGAGACACCGUGUGCUACCCCUUCCCUGAUACUUUUUGCAUCGCCAGAUGAAUGGAUUUUGCUGUGUACGGAUCAAUCCACUGAGGAAAACGCCGGAUGUUAUAUAUACUAUAGUGGAAAUGCACCAUGCAAAAGACUUCAACAUUAUUAUUUGAGAAAAUUAUAUGCAUAAUCAUUUAUAUUAUGACGCGGGA
Molecule: long non-coding RNA, 495 nt
Organism: Armigeres subalbatus
Lineage: Eukaryota; Metazoa; Arthropoda; Insecta; Diptera; Culicidae
Exons: 3
Source: RefSeq, a predicted model, not a curated record